GACGAACGCUGGCGGCGUGCUUAACACAUGCAAGUCGAACGGUGAUCUUGGAGAGCUUGCUCUUUGGGUGAUCAGUGGCGAACGGGUGAGUAACACGUGAGUAACCUGCCCCUGACUCUGGAAUAACUUCGGGAAACCGAUGCUAAUACCGGAUAUGACACAGAGCCGCAUGGUUUCUGUGUGGAAAGUUUUUCGGUUGGGGAUGGACUCGCGGCCUAUCAGCUUGUUGGUGAGGUAAUGGCUCACCAAGGCGACGACGGGUAGCCGGCCUGAGAGGGCGAUCGGCCACACUGGGACUGAGACACGGCCCAGACUCCUACGGGAGGCAGCAGUGGGGAAUAUUGCACAAUGGGCGAAAGCCUGAUGCAGCGACGCCGCGUGGGGGAUGAAGGCCUUCGGGUUGUAAACUCCUUUCAGUAGGGAAGAAGCGAAAGUGACGGUACCUACAGAAGAAGCACCGGCUAACUACGUGCCAGCCGCCGCCGUAACAC
This 491-nucleotide ribosomal RNA is filed under the name uncultured bacterium. Its description in RNAcentral is "bacterial SSU rRNA". It matches the Rfam family "Bacterial small subunit ribosomal RNA", at positions 28 to 526 of the family's 1533-position model. The record is from RNAcentral.